Molecule: ribosomal RNA, 446 nt
Filed under: uncultured bacterium
Lineage: Bacteria
Description: partial 16S ribosomal RNA
Rfam family: Bacterial small subunit ribosomal RNA
Source: RNAcentral
CCUACGGGAGGCAGCAGUCGAGAAUCAUUCACAAUGGGGGAAACCCUGAUGGUGCGACGCCGCGUGGGGGAAUGAAGGUCUUCGGAUUGUAAACCCCUGUCAUGUGGGAGCAAAUUAACAAGAUAGUACCACAAGAGGAAGAGACGGCUAACUCUGUGCCAGCAGCCGCGGUAAUACAGAGGUCUCAAGCGUUGUUCGGAAUCACUGGGCGUAAAGCGUGCGUAGGCUGUUUCGUAAGUCGUGUGUGAAAGGUGCGGGCUCAACCCGCGGACGGCACAUGAUACUGCGAGACUAGAGUAAUGGAGGGGGAACCGGAAUUCUCGGUGUAGCAGUGAAAUGCGUAGAUAUCGAGAGGAACACUCGUGGCGAAGGCGGGUUCCUGGACAUUAACUGACGCUGAGGCACGAAGGCCAGGGGAGCGAAAGGGAUUAGAUACCCUAGUAGUC